Molecule: long non-coding RNA, 503 nt
Filed under: Mus musculus (house mouse)
Lineage: Eukaryota; Metazoa; Chordata; Mammalia; Rodentia; Muridae
Description: expressed sequence AI506816
Source: RNAcentral
UGACAUCUCUUAUGCAGCUCUGGAGCUUGAGGUGAACUGGUCCGACUUCCAGAAGAGAAGGAAAAGCCAGUGCAGUUACCUGACAGUGAGUAAACCCGGUGUUUCUCGUGGUUUCGUCAGAUCUACCAUCGCCUGCCAGCCUGUCCUGCUUUGACCCCGCAGACUGUCCCUGUCCCCUCUGAACAAAAGGAUGGGCUGUUUCACAGCAACCCUAUGGUUUGGUACAGUUGCUGCAGGAAGCAGACUUAGGGAAGGAGCGGAGGGACACAAGGGUACAAGGUGUCGGACCAAAAUUAGGGGAUCUUCUAAAUCAGAAUAAAACACGUUCUCCACUCAAGUCAGAAGAACUGUCCAUUCAAAGCCUACAGUGCCAACCUAUGACAAGAUUGCAGGAUGGCCUGUUAGGAAGCCCACAAUGACUUUCCCAUUCACUAUAAGUUACCCACAGAUGAAAGAAUUUCACAAUGUCACAAUGAAUUUGGUUGCCGACACAGAGAUCCUAG